GCCGAGCUGGGUAACGUCAGCUUAUGACCUGAGUGGGGGCAACAAGGUGAUUGAACAAGGCUAUGACUUGCUAAACUGGUCUGGAGGUUGCAACUUGCUGGCCUGCCCACUCCAAGUUGAGAAUUGAGCCAUGUGUCCUUUGCGAAGGCAUGGGUUUCCUGGUUACUAGACAGGAGGCACCGCGUGAGGCUGGUUUCACAGAGCAGCGACAACCUCCGGUUCUUGACUCACCAAAUGAGCUUGGUGAGCCUUGUCCUCUUGAACAAUCAUUUUU
RNAcentral lists this signal recognition particle RNA (274 nucleotides) under Vigna radiata var. radiata (mung bean). RNAcentral describes it as "SRP RNA Plant_SRP". It matches the Rfam family "Plant signal recognition particle RNA". Lineage: Eukaryota; Viridiplantae; Streptophyta; Magnoliopsida; Fabales; Fabaceae. The record is from Rfam by way of RNAcentral.